This 319-nucleotide unclassified non-coding RNA is filed under the name Hevea brasiliensis (rubber tree). Lineage: Eukaryota; Viridiplantae; Streptophyta; Magnoliopsida; Malpighiales; Euphorbiaceae. The record is from RNAcentral.
GAAAGAGACUAAGAUGUGGGAGGUAGAAGAAAGAGACUAGGGAAGAGGGAAGGAAAAGAACAAGGAAAGGCUGCCCAUUAAAAAUUUCCAAUAUUCAGUGAAAUCUUUAUGCUACUGAUAUCAUCCUUUCUUAAGUACCAUUUUCUAUAUGUAUAUGCACUUGAAGAAAACCUUGAACAAAUGAAAUUCCAUAAAUAAAUGAGGUAAGUUACAAUGAUGAAAUCCCUAAGUUUAUUGCAGUUACUUGUAGUGACUAAAAAAAAAAUUGUAUUUUUUAAUUUUUGACAAUUUUAUCCCAAUUGCUAAAUUUAGUUCCAAU